GUGUGCCUCUGUUUUCUUAUCCAUAAAGUGCAUAUGCUCAGACCACCUACUUCAUAGGGUUGCAAUAAGGAUAAAAUGCAAUAGCAACAGCUGACACUUACUGAGCAUUUUACGCAAAUUAACGCAUUUAAUCCCACAACAACGCAAUGAGGCAGCCCCCGUUUUACAGGUGAGAAAACUGAGGCACAAGGAGGUUAAGUAACUUGUGCAAGAUCAAAUGAUGAAUAAGUGGAGAUGCUGAGAUUUAAACCUGGGUGCUCUGGCCCCCAGGACCUACCCCAUCAGCAGCACACACAGUGUCCAGCACACAGGAAGCCCUAAAUAUAUGCUUGGGUGUAUCCAAAAGUCCCUGUCUGUGCUCUGGGAGAGCUCGUUCCUCUAUCCGCCACUGCAUUCCACAGCCUGUAGAAGCCCUCAAGCCGCCCCGUGAUUUCUGCUAGUUCCAGAGUGGGGUGUGGAGGAAAAGGUGCUUUCAUUAGGCCUGUUUUAUGAGGAUGAGCUGAGGAACCCAGGGCUCACAGAUGAACCAUGCUUUGCCCAAGGGCAUGAAGCCUUUAAAGGCCUAAAAUGAUUUUACACUCCCACCCGCCACAGCUCUGCACAGGGCCUAGAUGACUCUGAUUCUGAGUGAAGUUUCUGGGAGGACAGAGAAGCAUGUUGCUGAGAAGGUGAGGCACUCCAGAGGGAUGGCAGAGCUGGGAGCAAGAUGGACAGAGGGGCCUAGCUGGCUGGCCACUGUCCAAGCCUGGGUCUGUGUCUCCGGCGUGUACCAACGUGUGUGUGUCCUCACGUGGCUGUGGACAAGCACCAGGGAGGUGGGAAGCCAGCAUUGAGCAGCACAGGUCAAGAACUAAACUCCCACCUCCUGAUUCAGGCAGCUCAGAGAGCCAGCUGCUGACAUAGAGGGUGUCUAAGCGCCUGCAGCCAUCAGCCAGCCGUCAUCACAGCCCACCCCCAGGUCAGGAAUCAGCAGCUCCACUCACCUCCUGCCAGCAAGCACUCCCAGGCCAGCUCUGUCACUGGUCGCUGAGCCUUUGGAAAAUGCAACCCUGUCAGCCCUCACUCUGAGGCGAGACGGCUCAUGUUCCAGCAUGUGCACGAGCAUGCCAGCACAUGACGCAUGCACACGUUGUACCCACAGACAUGUUCGCACCUGUGGGCACAAUGCAGACAUGUUCACAGCGAUACACACAGAGCAUAUCCCUGCAGGUCUGCAAAUGUGGACACAUGCCAGCAUGCUAUGCAUGCACGGGAGGCAAGCUCUCAUGUGUGCACUCAUGUUUGUAUUCAGAGCAUGCACAUGCCUGCCAUAGAUAAGUUCUCUGACAUGCAUGUACCUGUGUGUCCACUGGUACUCUUCAAUAAGCAAACAUAUUUUCCCAUUCAGGCAUAUAUUCAUACCCAUUCACUAACAUAUGUGUGUCCCCAGAAACUCCCACUCAAAUAUACAGCACAUAUAUGUGCAUACCCUCAGAUGUACUUCUGUGCAUGAACAUACAACUCCAUGCUCUCAUUCUCAGUCAUAUGCACAUUUGUAUGCACGCACAGGAAAGCAAAUGUAACCUCAGGAACAGUCCAUUACAAACUCCAAAUUCAAAUGCAUCGUCCCACAGAUGCAUUUGUACAUGUGAGGACAUAGGUCUGUGUGUAUGAACAUAAUAUACACGAUCACCUACAAGCACCUAAACAAACAGCCAUCCUCCAACAAAUGCUCAGAUCUGCACCAAGCACUCACACACAUGCAAUGGUAUAUGUGCAUCUGCCUGUCUCCAUGUAGGUUCCUCAACUUCCAGACAAUGUGUCCUCAGGCAUUAACCACCUCUGUCCAUGUGCACCUUUAGGCAGGCCCAGCACAGUUCACUCAUACCCAUGCCCCAUGCGCCUAACUCAACCCCACAGACAAGCACGCACAUAGACACGUGCCUCCAAAACCCAUCUCCCACACGUGUGUGGAGUCAGAUCCCUAUCACGCGGAUGCACACACACCCUCUCUGGGGCACAGCCUGCCCAGCCCCAGAUUGUCAGGUGUGCUGGGGACAGCAGGAAUGGUGCCCACACACAGAAAUCGCCAGUCAUGCAGAAUUGCAUCUGCUGCAAACUUCUCAUCUGCUGUGCAAAUGAUGAUUAAAUGUUAUUGUGCAAGAG
This 2145-nucleotide long non-coding RNA is filed under the name Pongo abelii (Sumatran orangutan). RNAcentral's name for it is "lincRNA". Lineage: Eukaryota; Metazoa; Chordata; Mammalia; Primates; Hominidae. The record is from RNAcentral.